ACUGUCUGAAAAUCACCUCUGGCCUCUGCAAUGGCUUCUGGGGAGAUAACUGCCUACAGCAACAGGAGCGUUAAGCUUAUUGCCCACAGACCCAAUGUGUGGGGAAUAAACCCCAUGUUCCUAUAACU
Molecule: small nucleolar RNA, 128 nt
Filed under: Chelonoidis abingdonii (Abingdon island giant tortoise)
Lineage: Eukaryota; Metazoa; Chordata; Testudines; Testudinidae
Description: Small nucleolar RNA ACA64 (ENSCABG00000016011.1)
Rfam family: Small nucleolar RNA ACA64
Source: Rfam by way of RNAcentral